AGACGGAGACGUUAAGCGAACCCAAAAAAGUAAGUCUCAGUUCGGAUUGAAGGCUGAAAUUCGCCUUCAUGAAGCCGGAAUUGCUAGUAAUGGCAGGUCAGCAUACUGCCGUGAAUACGUUCCCGGGCCUUGUACACACCGCCCGUCACACCAUGAGAGUUGGGAAUACCCGAAGCCUGUGAGCUAACGUAGGAGGCAGCAGUCGAAGGUAGAAUCAAUGAUUGGGGGUGAAGUCGUAACAAGGUAAC
This 248-nucleotide ribosomal RNA is filed under the name uncultured bacterium. RNAcentral's name for it is "partial 16S ribosomal RNA". It matches the Rfam family "Bacterial small subunit ribosomal RNA", at positions 1252 to 1500 of the family's 1533-position model. The record is from RNAcentral.